GAAAUGCGAUAAGUAGUGUGAAUUGCAGAAUUCAGUGAAUCAUCGAAUCUUUGAACGCACAUUGCGCCCCUCGGUAUUCCGUGGGGCAUGCCUGUUCGAGCGUCAUCUACACCCUCAAGCUCUGCUUGGUGUUGGGCGUCUGUCCCGCCUCCGCGCGCGGACUCGCCCCAAAUGCAUUGGCAGCGGUUCCUUGCCCCCCUCUUUGCGCAGCACAUUGCCAUUCGAGGCGGCGGCGGCCCGCGUCCCACAAGCUCAACCCCCCCGUCUUUGACCUCGGAUCAGGUAGGGAUACCCGCUGAACUUAAGC
Molecule: unclassified non-coding RNA, 307 nt
Filed under: plant metagenome
Description: partial contains 5.8S ribosomal RNA, internal transcribed spacer 2, and large subunit ribosomal RNA
Rfam family: 5.8S ribosomal RNA (bases 1-105)
Source: RNAcentral